This 468-nucleotide ribosomal RNA is filed under the name uncultured bacterium. RNAcentral's name for it is "partial 16S ribosomal RNA". It matches the Rfam family "Bacterial small subunit ribosomal RNA", at positions 28 to 507 of the family's 1533-position model. The record is from RNAcentral.
GACGAACGCUGGCGGCGUGCUUAACACAUGCAAGUCGAACGGAAAGGCCCUGCUUUUGUGGGGUGCUCGAGUGGCGAACGGGUGAGUAACACGUGAGUAACCUGCCCUUGUCUUUGGGAUAACUUCAGGAAACUGGGGCUAAUACCGGAUAGGAGCUCCUGCUGCACGGUGGGGGUUGGAAAGUUUCGGCGGUUGUGGAUGGACUCGAGGCUUAUCAGCUUGUUGGUGGGGUAGUGGCUUACCAAGGGUUUGACGGGUAGCCGGCCUGAGAGGGGGGCCGGGCACAAGGGGACUGAGGGACGGCCCAGUAGCCUACGGGAGGCAGCAGUCGGGAGUAUUGCGCAGUGGGCGGAAGCCUGAUGCAGCGACGCCGCGUGCGGGAUGACGGCCUUCGAGGGAUAAACCGCUUUCGCCUGUGACGAAGCGUGAGUGACGGUAAUGGGUAAAGAAGCACCGGCUAACUACGUG